This is a long non-coding RNA of Aedes albopictus (Asian tiger mosquito), 640 nucleotides long. RefSeq lists it as uncharacterized. NCBI's taxonomy places the organism in Eukaryota, Metazoa, Arthropoda, Insecta, Diptera, Culicidae. The transcript has 3 exons. The record is from RefSeq and is a predicted model, not a curated record.
AUUCAGAGGUCCCAUCGUCCGAAGAAAACCUGCCGCCAAAAUAUCUACUCUGUAUCGGAUCUGCCGGGGUAGAGGCAUUUUCAACCGAGUCUCCCAUACGCACGGUGAUUAUCCAGAUUAAGUCUGGCAAAGAUGAGAUGAGGAAUUUCACGGCCUCCUCAAUCCACACAUCUUCCGCAGAUGGGCCACUCUCAUGAUACUCGGGAAUCAGAACAAUCUAGUCAUCACUAGGUCGGCUUCUCGAGUGUCUGGGAGAGCUUUGUUGGUCAUUCCAGUCUGUGGAACCGGUUGAACUCCGGUAGCGGCAUGCAGAUAAGGCAAUCCUCAAAAGGUCUAUUGUUUCUGAUUGGUAUCGGCGAGGGUAUCGCAUCGGCUAUGUUGCACCAAAUUGUGAGUCUUCAUCGAUUUAUCAAACCAUUGCAACGGGUAUCGCUUCUCUUCGAUUUGAUAUACGUGGAUAUGAUUCAAUAACAGUCCAGAUUGAAGCCGCAUACGCCCUACCCUCUGGUCACUUAUACGCUGCUAAUCACCGGGAGGACCGUGGUAAAUGACAACAAAAACAAGGAUGGUCCAAUUCUUUGGUUCGACAGUAACCAAAUCGGGUAAGGUCGAUAUUAACUGCCAGCCCCUGACCGUUAUC